AUGGUAAAAUGGUCUUUAAAGAAGUACAAAUAUGCAAAUCACACGGAGUGCAUGAUUGAAGGCUCAUUGCUUGUACUUCACUUGAAACAAUGCUGGUGAUUUUGUUUUUCAUUUUAGUGGAUAUGAUUGCAAGAAGAAAAGAGGCAAUCAUCUCUAUAGCAGAGCAGCAUUAACAGCUCUGCCAGGAUGGUUGCCCACAGGUGCACUCUGAGUGACUGAUGGCAGAAAACAACACUCCGAGAGUGCUGUGUGUGCAAUUUGAAAGAACAAUUAAGUUGACUAAUAAAGGCCUCUUUCCUAUUUGUAAAUAAUCCA
RNAcentral lists this long non-coding RNA (315 nucleotides) under Anser brachyrhynchus (Pink-footed goose). Its description in RNAcentral is "lncRNA (ENSABRG00000020270.1)". The record is from RNAcentral. Lineage: Eukaryota; Metazoa; Chordata; Aves; Anseriformes; Anatidae.